Molecule: ribosomal RNA, 689 nt
Filed under: uncultured organism
Description: bacterial SSU rRNA
Rfam family: Bacterial small subunit ribosomal RNA
Source: RNAcentral
GGCUGGUAAGUAGCAUGGCAGACGGGUGAGGAACACGUACUUAACCUGACGCGUGAUGGGGGAUAGUCUCUCGAAAGAGGGUUGAAUACCGCAUAGGCUCUUGAGGUGUAAGGCUUCAGGAGGAAAGUUGGCCUCUGCGUGCAAGCUGAUGUCAUGCGAGGGGGGUGCGUCCUAUUAGCUAGCUGGGAGGGUAAUGGCCUACCAGGGCGACGAUGGGUAGCUGGUCUGAGAGGAUGAUCAGUCACACUGGGACUGGGACACGGCCCAGACUCCUACGGGAGGCAGCAGUGGGGAAUUUUGCGCAAUGGGCGCAAGCCUGACGCAGCAACGCCGCGUGAGUGAAGACGCCUUUCGGGGUGUAAGGCUCUGUCAGUGGGGACGAAGGUGUGGUGAUGAACAGUUGCCAGGCGUGACGGUACCCACGAAGGAAGCCCCGGCUAACUCCGUGCCAGCAGCCGCGGUAAGACGGAGGGGGCGAGCGUUGUUCGGAAUUACUGGGCGUAAAGCGCACGCAGGCGGCGUGCCAAGUGCGAAGUGAAAGCCCUCGGCUUAACCGGGGAAGGGCUUCGCAGACUGGUAGGCUAAAGUGUCGGAGGGGGAGGCGGAAUCCCUGGUGGAGCGGUGAAAUGCGUAGAGAUCAGGAAGAACGUCGGUGGCGAAGGCGGCCUCCUGGACGAACACUGACGCUG